AGAGUUUGAUCCUGGCUCAGAACGAACGCUGGCGGCAGGCUUAAUACAUGCAAGUCGAGGGGCAGCGCGGGUAGCAAUACCUGGCGGCGACCGGCAAACGGGUGCGGAACACGUACGCAACCUUCCUUUAAGUGGGGAAUAGCCCAGGGAAACUUGGAUUAAUACCCCUUAAUAUUAUUGAGUGGCAUCACUUGAUAAUUAAAGCUCCGGCGCUUAAAGAUGGGCGUGCGCCUGAUUAGGUAGUUGGCGGGGUAACAGCCCACCAAGCCUACGAUCAGUAACUGGUGUGAGAGCACGACCAGUCACACGGGCACUGAGACACGGGCCCGACUCCUACGGGAGGCAGCAGUAAGGAAUAUUGGUCAAUGGACGCAAGUCUGAACCAGCCAUGCCGCGUGGAGGAUGACGGCCCUCUGGGUUGUAAACUCCUUUUAUCUGGGAAGAAAUGCAGAUUUUCUAAUCUGUUUGACGGUACCAGAGGAAUAAGCACCGGCUAACUCCGUGCCAGCAGUCGCGGUAAUACGGAGGGUGCAAGCGUUAUCCGGAUUCACUGGGUUUAAAGGGUGCGUAGGUGGACAGGUAAGUCAGUGGUGAAAUCUCCAAGCUUAACUUGGAAACUGCCGUUGAUACUAUCUGUCUUGAAUAUCGUGGAGGUAAGCGGAAUAUGUCAUGUAGCGGUGAAAUGCUUAGAUAUGACAUAGAACACCGAUUGCGAAGGCAGCUUACUACACGAUCAUUGACACUGAGGCACGAAAGCGUGGGGAGCAAACAGGAUUAGAUACCCUGGUAGUCCACGCCCUAAACUAUGAUUACUCGACAUCAGCGAUACACUGUUGGUGUCUGAGCGAAAGCAUUAAGUAAUCCACCUGGGAAGUACGAUCGCAAGAUUGAAACUCAAAGGAAUUGACGGGGGCCCGCACAAGCGGUGGAGCAUGUGGUUUAAUUCGAUGCAACGCGAAGAACCUUACCGGGAUUUGACAUCUCCUGUUACCCUUUGAAAGAAGGGGUUCUCUUCGGAGACAGGAAGACAGGUGGUGCAUGGUUGUCGUCAGCUCGUGUCGUGAGAUGUUGGGUUAAGUCCCGCAACGAGCGCAACCCCUAUCUUUAGUUGCUAACACUUUUGGUGAGCACUCUAGAGAGACUGCCGGUGAUAAACCGGAGGAAGGUGGGGACGACGUCAAAUCAUCAUGCCCUUUAUGUCCCGGGCUACACACGUGCUACAAUGGCCUAUACAGAGGGAAGCGACCUGGCGACAGGCAGCGGAUCCCUUAAAAUAGGUCUCAGUUCGGAUUGCAGGCUGCAACUCGCCUGCAUGAAGCAGGAAUCGCUAGUAAUCGCAGGUCAGAAUACUGCGGUGAAUACGUUCCCGGGCCUUGUACACACCGCCCGUCACACCACGAAAGUCUGUCACGCCCGAAGCCGGUGGCCUAACCGCAAGGAGGGAGCCGUCGAAGGCAGGAUAGGUGAUUGGGGUGAAGUCGUAACAAGGUA
This 1491-nucleotide ribosomal RNA is filed under the name uncultured bacterium. RNAcentral describes it as "partial 16S ribosomal RNA". It matches the Rfam family "Bacterial small subunit ribosomal RNA". The record is from RNAcentral.